UUAAGCAUAUCAAUAAGCGGAGGGAAAAGAAACUAACCAAGGAUUCCCCCUAGUAACUGCGAGUGAAGCGGGAAAAGCUCAAAUUUAAAAUCUGGCGGUCUCUGGCUGUCCGAGUUGUAAUCUAGAGAAGUGUUACCCGCGCUGGACCGUGUACAAGUCUCCUGGAAUGGAGCGUCAUAGAGGGUGAGAAUCCCGUCUCUGACACGGACUACCAGGGCUUUGUGGUAUGCUCUCAAAGAGUCGAGUUGUUUGGGAAUGCAGCUCAAAAUGGGUGGUAAAUUCCAUCUAAAGCUAAAUAUUGGCGAGAGACCGAUAGCGAACAAGUACCGUGAGGGAAAGAUGAAAAGAACUUUGGAAAGAGAGUUAAACAGUACGUGAAAUUGCUGAAAGGGAAACGCUUGAAGUCAGUCGCGUCGUCUGGGGAUCAGCCUCGCAUUGCGUGGUGCACUUUCCGGUCGACGGGUCAGCAUCAAUUUUGACCGCUGGAAAAAGGCUUGGGGAAUGUGACAGCUUCGGCUGUGUUAUAGCCUCUUGCCACAUACAGCGGUUGGGAUUGAGGAACUCAGCACGCCGAAAGGCCGGGUUUCGACCACGUCCGUGCUUAGGAUGCUGGCAUAAUGGCUUUAAGCGACCCGUCUUGAAACACGGACCAAGGAGUCUAACAUGCUUGCGAGUG
This 676-nucleotide ribosomal RNA is filed under the name Cystolepiota sp. ecv3896. RNAcentral describes it as "eukaryotic LSU rRNA". It matches the Rfam family "Eukaryotic large subunit ribosomal RNA", at positions 34 to 692 of the family's 3401-position model. Lineage: Eukaryota; Fungi; Basidiomycota; Agaricomycetes; Agaricales; Agaricaceae. The record is from RNAcentral.